UUCUGAUAAUACUGGAUAAGUUAGAAGUAGCAUUACUAAGUAAAUGAAAAGGUAAGCAAUACGCUAUAUGAGAGCUUUGCAUCCUAUUAGCUAGUUGGUGGGGGUAAAAGCCUACCAAGGCGAUGAUAGGUAGCCGGCCUGAGAGACCGACCGGCCAGAUUGGGACUGAGACACGGCCCAGACUCCUACGGGAGGCAGCAGUC
This 203-nucleotide ribosomal RNA is filed under the name uncultured Sneathia sp. RNAcentral describes it as "partial 16S ribosomal RNA". It matches the Rfam family "Bacterial small subunit ribosomal RNA", at positions 158 to 355 of the family's 1533-position model. Lineage: Bacteria; Fusobacteriati; Fusobacteriota; Fusobacteriia; Fusobacteriales; Leptotrichiaceae. The record is from RNAcentral.